GACGAACGCUGGCGGCGUGCUUAACACAUGCAAGUCGAACGGAAAGGCCCUGCUUGCUGGGUGCUCGAGUGGCGAACGGGUGAGUAACACGUGGGUGAUCUGCCCCUUACUUUGUGAUAAGCCUGGGAAACUGGGUCUAAUACUGGAUAGGACCAUGCUGUAGGUGGUGUGGUGCAAAGAUUAGUUUCGGUAAGGGAUGAGCUCGCGGCCUAUCAGCUUGUUGGUGGGGUAAUGGCCUACCAAGGCGUCGGCGGAUAGCCGGCCUGAGAGGGUGGAAGGCCAGAUUGGGACUGAGAUACGGGCCAGACGCCGACGGGAGGCAGCAGUGGGGAAUAGUGCACAAUGGGCGCAAGCCUGAUGCAGCGACGCCGCGUGGGGGAUGACGGCCUUCGGGUUGUAAACUCCUUUCAGCCAUGACGAAGCCCUUGUGGUGACGGUAGUGGUAGAAGAAGCACCGGCUAACUACGUG
RNAcentral lists this ribosomal RNA (469 nucleotides) under uncultured bacterium. RNAcentral describes it as "partial 16S ribosomal RNA". It matches the Rfam family "Bacterial small subunit ribosomal RNA", at positions 28 to 507 of the family's 1533-position model. The record is from RNAcentral.